RNAcentral lists this ribosomal RNA (1470 nucleotides) under uncultured Bordetella sp. RNAcentral's name for it is "partial 16S-23S ribosomal RNA intergenic spacer". It matches the Rfam family "Bacterial small subunit ribosomal RNA". The record is from RNAcentral. Lineage: Bacteria; Pseudomonadati; Pseudomonadota; Betaproteobacteria; Burkholderiales; Alcaligenaceae.
GGUUCGAUUAUGGCUCAGAUUGAACGCUGGCGGAUGCUUACAUGCAAGUCGACGGCACGGACUGGUCUGGUGGCGAGUGGCGAACGGGUGAGUAAUGUAUCCAGACGUGCCUAGUAGCGGGGGAUAACUACGCGAAAGCGUAGCUAAUACCGCAUACGCCCUUCAGGAAAGCGGGGGACCUUCGGGCCUCGCACUAUUAGAGCGGCCGAUAUCGGAUUAGCUAGUUGGUGGGGUAACGGCUCACCAAGGCGACGAUCCGUAGCUGGUUUGAGAGGACGACCAGCCACACUGGGACUGAGACACGGCCCAGACUCCUACGGGAGGCAGCAGUGGGGAAUUUUGGACAAUGGGGAAACCCUGAUCCAGCCAUCCCGCGUGUGCGAUGAAGGCCUUCGGGUUGUAAGGCACUUUUGGCAGGAGAAAGAAACGGCACGGAUAAUACCCCGUGCAACUGACGGCUACCUGCAGAAGAAUAAGCACCGGCUAACUACGUACCCAGCAGCCGCGGUAAUACGUAGGGUGCAAGCGUUAAUCGGAAUUACUGGGCGUAAAGCGUGCGCAGGCGGUUCCGGAAAGAAAGAUGUAGCCGAAAUCCCAAACUAACUUUGGAACUUUUGCUACCGAGCUAGAGUGUGUGUCAGAGGGAGGUGGAAUUCCGCGUGUAUCAGUGAAACGUAGAUAUGCGGAGGAACACCGAUGGCGAGCAGCCUCCUGGGAUAACACUGACGCUCAUGCACGGCGUGGGAGCAAACAGGAUUAGAUACCCUGGUAGUCCUUCCUAAAGCGAUGUCAACUAGCUGUUGGGGCCUUCGGGCCUUGGUAGCGCAGCUAACGCGUGAAGUUGACCGCCUGGGGAAGUACGGUCGCAAGAUUAAAACUCAAAGGAAUUGACGGGGACCCGCACAAGCGGUGGAUGAUGUGGGUCCAUUGAAAUGCAACGCGAAAAACCUUACCUACCCUUGACAUGUCUGGAAUCCCGAAGAGAUUUGGGAGUGCUCGCAAGAGAACCGGAACACAGGUGCUGCAUGGCUGUCGUCAGCUCGUGUCGUGAGAUGUUGGGUUAAGUCCCGCAAGCGGCACAACCCUUGUCAUUAGUUAGCACGAAGGCACUCUAAUGAGACUGCCGAUGGCUCAAACCGGAGGAAGGUGGGGAUGACGUCAAGUCCUCAUGACCCUUAUGGGUAGGGCACGUCAUACAAUGAAGUCGGGACAGAAGGUCGCCAACCCGCGAGAGGCCAAUCCCAGAAACCCGAUCCGUAGUCCGGAUCGCAGUCUGCAACUCGAGCUGGCUGAAGUCGGAAUCGCUAGUAAUCGCGGAUCAGCAUGUCGCGGUGAAUACGUUCCCGGGUCUUGUACACACCGCCCGUCACACCAUGGGAGUGGGUUUACCAGAAGUAGUUAGCCUAACCGUAAGGAGGGCAAUUUUACCACGGUAGGAUUCAUGACUGGGGUGAAGUCGUAACAAGGUAA